Molecule: transfer RNA, 76 nt
Filed under: Gemmatimonadota bacterium
Lineage: Bacteria; Pseudomonadati; Gemmatimonadota
Description: Gemmatimonadetes bacterium (soil metagenome) tRNA-Gln
Rfam family: tRNA
About the family: Transfer RNA (tRNA) molecules are approximately 80 nucleotides in length.
Source: RNAcentral
UGGCCCGUGGUGUAACUGGCAACACGCUUGACUCUGGAUCAAGAGAUUCCUGGUUCGAAUCCAGGCGGGCCAACCA